RNAcentral lists this ribosomal RNA (429 nucleotides) under Verrucomicrobiota bacterium. Its description in RNAcentral is "Verrucomicrobia bacterium partial 16S ribosomal RNA". It matches the Rfam family "Bacterial small subunit ribosomal RNA", at positions 355 to 776 of the family's 1533-position model. Lineage: Bacteria; Pseudomonadati; Verrucomicrobiota. The record is from RNAcentral.
UAGGGAAUCUUCCGCAAUGGACGAAAGUCUGACGGAGCAACGCCGCGUGAGUGAAGAAGGAUUUCGGUUCGUAAAACUCUGUUGUUAGGGAAGAAAAAAUGUAUAGUAACUAUAUACAAAAGAGACGGUACCUAACCAGAGAGCCACGGCUAACUACGUGCCAGCAGCCGCGGUAAUACGUAGGUGGCAAGCGUUGUCCGGAAUUAUUGGGCGUAAAGCGCGCGCAGGUGGUUUAGAAAGUCUGAUGUGAAAGCCCACGGCUCAACCGUGGAGGGUCAUUGGAAACUAAUAAACUUGAGUGCAGGAGAGAAAAGUGGAAUUCCUAGUGUAGCGGUGAAAUGCGUAGAGAUUAGGAGGAACACCGGUGGCGAAAGCGGCUUUUUGGCCUGCAACUGACACUGAGGCGCGAAAGCGUGGGGAGCAAACAGG